UACGGGGGGGGCAAGCGUUGUUCGGAAUUACUGGGCGUAAAGGGUUCGUAGGUGGCCAACUAAGUCAGACGUGAAAUCCCUCAGCUUAACUGGGGAACUGCGUCUGAUACUGCUGGUCUUGAGUACGGAAGAGGGAGGCGGAAUUCCUGGUGUAGCGGUGAAAUGCGUAGAUAUCAGGAGGAACACCGAUAGCGAAGGCAGCUCACUAGGUCUGGAUUGACGCUCAGGGACGAAAGCGUGGGGAGCAAACAGG
Molecule: ribosomal RNA, 253 nt
Filed under: uncultured bacterium
Lineage: Bacteria
Description: partial 16S ribosomal RNA
Rfam family: Bacterial small subunit ribosomal RNA
Source: RNAcentral